UACGUAGGGGGCUAGCGUUAAUCGGAAUUACUGGGCGUAAAGGGUGAGUAGGCGGAAGUACAAGUUAGAUGUGAAAUACCUGGGCUUAACCUGGGAGGUGCAUUUAAGACUGUAUAUCUAGAGUCUGUUAGAGGGGGGUAGAAUUCCAAGUGUAGCAGUGAAAUGCGUAGAGAUUUGGAGGAAUACCGAAGGCGAAGGCAGCCCCCUGGGAUAAGACUGACGCUGAGUCACGAAAGCGUGGGUAGCAAACAGG
Molecule: ribosomal RNA, 253 nt
Filed under: uncultured bacterium
Lineage: Bacteria
Description: partial 16S ribosomal RNA
Rfam family: Bacterial small subunit ribosomal RNA
Source: RNAcentral